AGUUAAUGAUCUUGACUAAA
This 20-nucleotide transfer RNA is filed under the name Formica foreli. RNAcentral describes it as "partial tRNA-Ser". Lineage: Eukaryota; Metazoa; Arthropoda; Insecta; Hymenoptera; Formicidae. The record is from RNAcentral.